ACAACAACAACAACCCAGCAUUUAGAAAACACACGUGCUACACAAUCCUAUUUUUCCCAACUUGAAAUCUGUUUCCACGCCAGGACACAGACUGGGAGCUGCUGCUAACGUCUCUCACAAUGUCAGCCCCUCUGGAAUUCCUGACCAGGCUUCUCUUCCCUGUCAUCCAUUCCAGGAAUUCACAAACUUCUUCUGUGAAGACGUAAAUAUUAGGGAGUAUUUUCAGUUUUGUGGGCCAAGAGGCAAAGCUGAGGAAUAGCACAUCAGUGCUUAUGUAACAAGACAGAAAACACAUUUCCGUGUACUUUUUACUGGCAGGGUUCAGAACUUCAUUGAUGAGCACUGAAAUUUGAACCUUGUAUGAUUUUCACAUGUCACAAAAUAUCAUUCUUCUUAUUUUCUUUCCAUCAACUUUUUAAAAGUGUGAAAGCUGAUCACACGCAACAAGGCAGUGGGUGGAACUGGGAGCAGCCUGUAGUUUGGCCAGCUGUGACCUCCCACACAGCACCAAGAAGUCACAUCUCCUGGAGUCCAGUUCCUAGAGCAUCUGUGCUGAAGGACUGUUCAGAGACUCUGCUUGCCCUUCCAGAGGUGCGUGGUCCUGGCAUGAACAUCCGUCGGGAUACACAUCUCCUCAUCCCAGAAGCCAAAAGCGGCUCUGGACACCUCAACCACUAAAUCUUCCUCACGAGGUGCUUGUACCGCUGGGGAAGAGGCUAUAAACUAUGCCGAUCAUACUCCUGUCUAAGUGAGCUAGAGUGAUAAAGAUGGAAGACCUGGGAGCACGCUUUCAUUGAUUAUACCAUCCACUGAUCCCAGACAAGACUGCUGGGCCAUGUCAACCAUGGAGACCUUCUGGAUAGACCUUCUGGAGCUGUCUCCAGCCUUCCCUUCGGCCCUGGGAGCUCCCCUGCAUCCUUCCAAUAAGCCCCCUUCUUUCUUACAUUAGUCACAGUGGCUACUGUUGCUGGCAACCAAACACUGUAACUCAGGCACCACUCACUCUUGGGGGAGUGAGGGCAGACAUCCAGAUUUUCAACUCGCUCAGAGCAUCAGGCACAGCCCAAGGCAGCACAAAGCUGAUCACUGGAGUAAAGGAGGAUGCGUUCACUCCCAGUACCUGUGCAGGUGGGAGGCGUGUGUGUACCUAGCCCAAGGGAAGGCUCUGGCAAGCCAGCCAGCCCAGGACCCUUCCUCCCAUAGGAAAACACUUAGCGGGUUGAGUCUUGAGCCGUAGAACACAGCAAACAGGCAGAGCUGCUUGGCGCUGACGUGCUCCCCGAGCACAGGGCCCUGGACUCUGCAGCAGUGACCUCAGGAGGGAGGGGAUAUAUAUAUAUAUAACUAUGACUGAUUCACGCUGCAGUGCAGCAGAAAGCAGCACAACAUUGUAAAGCAAGUUUCCACUCAUUAAAAAAUAAAUAAAAUUAAUUUUAAAAACCA
RNAcentral lists this long non-coding RNA (1443 nucleotides) under Bos indicus x Bos taurus (hybrid cattle). RNAcentral describes it as "lncRNA (ENSBIXG00005000931.1)". Lineage: Eukaryota; Metazoa; Chordata; Mammalia; Artiodactyla; Bovidae. The record is from RNAcentral.